CCUACGGGAGGCAGCAGUGGGGAAUCUUGCACAAUGGAGGAAACUCUGAUGCAGCGAUGCCGCGUGAGUGAAGAAGGCCCUUGGGUUGUAAAGCUCUUUUGUCGGGAAAGAUAAUGACUGUACCCGA
This 127-nucleotide ribosomal RNA is filed under the name uncultured bacterium. RNAcentral's name for it is "partial 16S ribosomal RNA". It matches the Rfam family "Bacterial small subunit ribosomal RNA", at positions 338 to 482 of the family's 1533-position model. The record is from RNAcentral.